CGCCCUCCGCGGGGGGACGGGCCCGAAAGGCAGCGGCGGCGCCGCGUCCGGUCCUCGAGCGUAUGGGGCUCUGUCACCCGCUCUGCAGGCCCGGCCGGCGCCCGCNGAGUCAACCACUUCUUUCCAGGUUGACCUCGGAUCAGGUAGGGAU
Molecule: ribosomal RNA, 151 nt
Filed under: Thermoascus crustaceus
Lineage: Eukaryota; Fungi; Ascomycota; Eurotiomycetes; Eurotiales; Thermoascaceae
Description: partial 28S ribosomal RNA
Source: RNAcentral